UUGUGUCUGUCUUCUAAAGAUGGCGUUGAGUAAAACAUUCGGUCAAAAGCCAAUAAAAUUUCAACUCGAAGAAGAUGGCGAUUUUUACAUGAUAGGCUCUGAGGUUGGAAAUUAUUUGCGUAUGUUCAGAGGUUCGCUGUACAAAAGGUACCCAUCGUUGUGGCGCAGACUCGCUUCAGUAGAGGAGAGGAAAAAGAUCGCCGCGUCGUCACACGAUCAUGGUUACACAACUUUAGCCACCAGUGUGACUCUGCUGAAGGCGUCUGAGUGUGAAGAGAUCUUCGAGGGCAAUGAUGAGAAGUACAAGGCAGUGUCCAUCAGCACAGAACCUCCAGCCUACCUCAGGGAACAGAAGGCCAAGAGGAACAGUCAGUGGGUCCCCACGCUCCCCAACAGUUCCCACCACCUGGACGCUGUGCCUUGUUCCACCACCAUCAACCGAAACCGCAUGGGACGCGACAAGAAAAGGACCUUCCCCCUGUGUUUCGAUGACCACGACCCAGCGGUGAUCCAUGAAAACGCCUCACAGACAGAGGUUCUGGUUCCCAUCCGAUUGGACAUGGAGAUAGACGGCCAGAAGCUCCGAGACGCCUUCACCUGGAAUAUGAACGAGAAGCUGAUGACGCCAGAGAUGUUUGCAGAGAUAUUGUGUGACGAUUUGGACCUGAACCCACUGACGUUCGUCCCAGCCAUCGCCUCCGCCAUCCGGCAGCAGAUAGAGUCCUACCCUACUGACAGCAUCCUAGACGAACAGACCGAUCAGAGAGUCAUCAUCAAGCUGAACAUACACGUGGGAAACAUUUCCCUGGUGGACCAGUUUGAGUGGGACAUGUCCGAGAAGGAGAACUCUCCAGAAACGUUUGCGCUGAAGCUGUGCUCUGAGCUCGGUCUCGGAGGAGAGUUCGUCACCACCAUCGCCUACAGCAUCCGCGGCCAGCUCAGCUGGCAUCAGAGGACGUACGCCUUCAGGUCUGAUUUCAGGUCAAUAUACUUCAAAAUUUCUUGACCUUCUCUCCCUCCUUACCCCCACUACGUUUACCCCCACUUCCACCUUCAUGCCCUGGGAAGCUGAGUACCCUCAUCUCUUCUUUAUUUUGAUCUUGAGCUUUUGCAGGGCUCGUUCCUAAAGGUUUCUACAAUAAAAUUGCUUUUUAACAGGACACCAGUGCAAAAUGGUGGAUCUUUUUGUAAAGCUAAUUAUAAGAGAGAUAUAUAUAUAUAUGUUUACAAUGACAUUAUUUAAGAGUAACACCAAGGUUUGCUUGAGUGAUUCAUUGUCAUGUCUGCUGCAUGUGCUGAAGUGAUAUAUAUAAUUAAUUCAAUCUUUUAGUUUAUCUGUAUUUUUGUGCAUGAUGCAUCAGAUUAUUUAAUGUACAUACCAAGUAGACAUUGAAUAAUAAUAAUAAUAAUGAUAAUAAUAAUAAUAAUUUAAAGGCAUUUCUGCAGAUCUUCAUCACUACUAUGCCUUAAGGGUGACCAGUGGAAAUAUCAUUUCCUCCAACAUGCAGUCAUGAUCAAGCACGUCCGUACUGACUUCCUGUGACCGCGAUGUUCUUUUCCGUAGUGAGAACCCCUUGCCGACGGUAGAGAUUGCCAUUCGGAACACGGGCGAUGCCGAUCAGUGGUGCCCCCUGCUGGAAACGCUGACAGAUGCAGAGAUGGAAAAGAAGAUCAGAGAUCAGGACAGAAACACAAGGCGCAUGCGGCGACUUG
This is an RNA transcript of Ictalurus furcatus (blue catfish), 1713 nucleotides long. It is a transcript of the gene named SWI/SNF-related matrix-associated actin-dependent regulator of chromatin subfamily B member 1-A, with no coding region annotated. The record is from RefSeq and is a predicted model, not a curated record. The transcript is spliced from 9 exons. Lineage: Eukaryota; Metazoa; Chordata; Actinopteri; Siluriformes; Ictaluridae.